Molecule: ribosomal RNA, 433 nt
Filed under: uncultured bacterium
Lineage: Bacteria
Description: partial 16S ribosomal RNA
Rfam family: Bacterial small subunit ribosomal RNA
Source: RNAcentral
AACGAACGCUGGCGGCAUGCCUAACACAUGCAAGUCGAACGAGACCUUCGGGUCUAGUGGCGCACGGGUGCGUAACGCGUGGGAACCUGCCCUUAGGUUCGGAAUAACUCCCCGAAGGGGGUGCUAAUACCGGAUAAUGUCUUCGGACCAAAGAUUUAUCGCCUUUGGAUGGGCCCGCGUUGGAUUAGCGAGUUGGUAGGGUAAAAGCCUACCAAGGCGACGAUCCAUAGCUGGUCUGAGAGGAUGAUCAGCCACACUGGGACUGAGACACGGCCCAGACUCCUACGGGAGGCAGCAGUGGGGAAUAUUGGACAAUGGGCGAAAGCCUGAUCCAGCAAUGCCGCGUGAGUGAUGAAGGCCUUAGGGUUGUAAAGCUCUUUUACCCGGGAUGAUAAUGACAGUACCGGGAGAAUAAGCGCCGGCUAACUCCGUG